AUCCGUGUCUCAUAUCAACGUGCAGACGCGAUGGACGGAUGCAGGUGCGAGCCCGCCCGCUGAAGGGCGGUGUGUUGACGGUUUUGGGUGUGGGUUGGAUCGGGUUGUCAGGACGAGAGAAGGAAAG
Molecule: small RNA, 127 nt
Filed under: Pyramimonas parkeae
Lineage: Eukaryota; Viridiplantae; Chlorophyta; Pyramimonadophyceae; Pyramimonadales; Pyramimonadaceae
Description: partial Betaproteobacteria transfer-messenger RNA
Source: RNAcentral